GAUGAACGCUAGCUACAGGCUUAACACAUGCAAGUCGAGGGGAAACGAUAUUGGAAGCUUGCUUCCGAUAGGCGUCGACCGGCGCACGGGUGAGAAACGCGUAUCCAACCUGCCUACCACUGGGGAAUAACCUUGAGAAAGUAAGACUAAUGCCCAAUGAUAUCUCGAGAAGACAUCUGAUGGAGAUUAAAGAUUUAUCGGUGAUGGAUGGGGAUGCGUCUGGUUAGCGUGUUGGCGGGGUAACGGCCCACCAAGGCGACGAUCAGUAGGGGUGCUGAGAGGAAGGUCCCCCACAUUUGAACUGAGACACAGUCCAAACUCCUACGGGAGGCAGCAGUGAGGAAUAUUGGUCAAUGGGCGAGGGCCUGAACCAGCCAAGUAGCGUGCAGGAUGACGGCCCUAUGGGUUGUAAACUGCUUUUAUAAGGGAAUAAAGUUAGUCUCGUGAGACUUUUUGCAUGUACCUUAUGAAUAAGGACCGGCUAAUUCCGUGCCAGCCGCCGCCGUAA
This 508-nucleotide ribosomal RNA is filed under the name uncultured bacterium. RNAcentral describes it as "partial 16S ribosomal RNA". It matches the Rfam family "Bacterial small subunit ribosomal RNA", at positions 28 to 523 of the family's 1533-position model. The record is from RNAcentral.